RNAcentral lists this ribosomal RNA (716 nucleotides) under uncultured archaeon. Its description in RNAcentral is "bacterial SSU rRNA". It matches the Rfam family "Archaeal small subunit ribosomal RNA", at positions 4 to 720 of the family's 1478-position model. The record is from RNAcentral.
CUGGUUGAUCUUGCCAGAGGCCACUGGUAUCGGAGUACGACUUAGCCAUGCGAGUCACAGGGGCGCAAGCCACUGGCAGACGGCUCAGUAACACGUAGGUAACCUACCCUUCGGACGGGCACAACCCCGGGAAACUGGGGCUAAUUCCCGAUAGGUACCCCCUUCUGGAAUGUGGGGAUAUCCAAAGCUCCGGCGCCGAAGGAUGGGCCUGCGGCCGAUUAGGUUGUUGGCGGGGUAACAGCCCACCAAGCCGACGAUCGGUACGGGCAGUGAGAGCUGUAGCCCGGAGAUGGGGACUGAGACAAGGCCCCAGGGCCUACGGGGCGCAGCAGGCGCGAAACCUUCACAAUGCACGAAAGUGUGAUGAGGGUACUCCGAGUGCGCAUACAUUGUAUGUGCUUUUCUGCAGCGUAAAUAGUUGCAGGAAUAAGGGCUGGGCAAGACCGGUGCCAGGCGCCGCGGUAACACCGGCAGCCCCUAGUGGUGGGCCGCUUUUAUUGGGCCUAAAGCGUCCGUAGCCGGACAGGCAAGUCUUUGGGUAAAUCCUACGUCUUAGGCGUGGGAAUUCUAAAGAUACUACCUGUCUUGAGGGCGGGANAAGGCUGGAGGUACUCCUUGGGUUAGGGGAAAAUCCUAUAAUCCCUGGGGGGACCCNCCAUGGGCGAGGGCUCCAGCUGGAACGGGCCUGGAGGGUGAGGGACGAAACCCAGGGGAGG